This 378-nucleotide ribosomal RNA is filed under the name uncultured bacterium. Its description in RNAcentral is "partial 16S ribosomal RNA". It matches the Rfam family "Bacterial small subunit ribosomal RNA", at positions 338 to 733 of the family's 1533-position model. The record is from RNAcentral.
CCUACGGGUGGCAGCAGUGAGGAAUAUUGGGCAAUGGAGGCAACUCUGACCCAGCCAUGCCGCGUGAGUGAAGAAGGUUUUCGGAUUGUAAAGCUUUUUCGGUUGGGACGAUGAUGACGGUAGCCUCUACAGAAGGCCCGGCUAACUUCGGGCCAGCAGCCGCGGUAAUACGAAGGGGGCCAGCGUUGGUCGGAAUUACUGGGCGUAAAGGGGAUGUAGGCGGUUUAAUAAGUUAGUGGUGAAAUCCCCGGGUUUAACUUUGGAAUUGCCAUUAAAACUGUUAGACUAGAGUGACAGAGAGGAAAGUGGAAUGCCUAGUGUAGAGGUGAAAUGCGUAGAGAUUAGGUAGAACACCAGUGGCGAAGGCGACUAUCUGGC